This 495-nucleotide ribosomal RNA is filed under the name uncultured bacterium. RNAcentral describes it as "partial 16S ribosomal RNA". It matches the Rfam family "Bacterial small subunit ribosomal RNA", at positions 28 to 507 of the family's 1533-position model. The record is from RNAcentral.
GACGAACGCUGGCGGCGUGCCUAAUACAUGCAAGUAGAACGCUGAAGGAGGAGCUUGCUCUUCUGGAUGAGUUGCGAACGGGUGAGUAACGCGUAGGUAACCUGCCUGGUAGCGGGGGAUAACUAUUGGAAACGAUAGCUAAUACCGCAUAACAGUAGAUGUUGCAUGACAUUUGCUUAAAAGGUGCAAUUGCACCACUACCAGAUGGACCUGCGUUGUAUUAGCUAGUUGGUGGGGUAACGGCUCACCAAGGCGACGAUACAUAGCCGACCUGAGAGGGGGAUCGGCCACACUGGGACUGAGACACGGCCCAGACUCCUACGGGAGGCAGCAGUAGGGAAUCUUCGGCAAUGGACGGAAGUCUGACCGAGCAACGCCGCGUGAGUGAAGAAGGUUUUCGGAUCGUAAAGCUCUGUUGUAAGAGAAGAACGAGUGUGAGAGUGGAAAGUUCACACUGUGACGGUAUCUUACCAGAAAGAGACGGCUAACUACGUG